Long non-coding RNA from Conger conger (European conger), 1761 nucleotides. RefSeq lists it as uncharacterized. The record is from RefSeq and is a predicted model, not a curated record. Lineage: Eukaryota; Metazoa; Chordata; Actinopteri; Anguilliformes; Congridae. The transcript has 2 exons.
GUCUUACAUUCAUUUCCCUCUGCUCUGUGGCAAGGAAAUGGACGUCUCCACAACAUGAUCCUUGUGCUCAGAGAAAGAAUGCAGUGGAGCCAUUUGACCUAAUGACGUUGUCCCUCAGGUCCAGAAUCUCUCCUCAGACUGAAGGCCCCCCACUUAGUGUAUUUGACAAGCUGAGUAGGACACUCGGUAUGGCAGGGUGUCAGUUUGUCAAAUACCCCAAGUGAGAGGUCACUUUUCUCCAAGAUCAUCUCCAAGUUCAUGUCAUGAUGCGGAAGAAACUUUGCAGUCACUAUCCCCAACCCUGACCUUGUGAUCUGAGAGCACUAUGAGCGUUAAUAAUGCUUUGGGUGGUGUUACUUUGCCCUCCGGCAUAGUAAUACCACUGCAUUGUUCCAAAUAAAUAAAGAUAAAUUCAUGGUAAUCAACUGCUAAGAUUACCAUAGGUUAGACUAACAGAAAGGAAGGGUCCUAGUGAUAUCAUUGUGCAUUGUACUUUGUCAUGUAAGCCGAUUUUAUAUGGUUCAAGUCAUUGCCGGGGCAUUGGGGGAGUGGAUUUUGAGUGGCUUACCUGAAGACACAUCAUGGUAAAACAGUUCAGGUAAUCAUUUUGGAGGUGAUUGUGUGUGUGUGUGUGUGUGUGUCAUGUCCUAUUUGCACUUGUACCUGUUACCUGAUGUGUCACCUUUGCCAGUAAUGUUUGGGGAUAUAUUUCAAAUAAUGGUUGGCAUUUAUAUAGCGCCUUUAUCCAAAGCGCUGUACAAUUGAUGCAUCUCAUUCACCCAUUCAUACACACACUCACACACCGACGGCAAUUGGCUGCCAUGCAAGGCACCGACUAGCUCGUCAGGAGCAUUUGGGGGUUAGGUGUCUUGCUCAGGGACACUUCGACACAGGCUGGGCGGGGGAUCGAACCGACAACCCUCUGACUGCCAAACAACUGCAAAUCUUUGUCUAAGACUGAAAUUGCAAUUUUAUCAAUAGAGUGAACAACUAUGACUGAAAUAUGAGAAGACUGUUUUUAAUAUAUUCUAAAACUGUUUCUCUAAAAAUCUGAAUAAUGUGCUUACAGUUCCUUGUCCACACUAUGUAUUGCAGACCAAAUGUAAUUAAUUACAAACGCAUUUAUGCAAAUAGACUUUGAAUGAGUCCCAGCAUUAUAAAAGGCAUUGGCAAAUACAAUCCAUUAUGUAUUGCAUAUUAUGACAAAGCUGUGUGGUUGAGACUAAAUGCAAACCAGGAACCUCGAGUAACCGUGGCAAUGAAUGUAUUUGUUCAUAAUGACACAUUGACAUUUUAUUUUUGCUUUUUUUGUGUAAAUAAUUGUAAUGGUCAAAUUAACAGUGGUUAAUGCAGUAGAAGAACAUGUCAUGGGUAAUAUAUUAAAUGGUGACCUUCAGUAAAAUUAUUCAGUUUGUCAGCAAGAGCCGCAAGACACGAAGCCAUGAUCAAGUGACAGUUGGCCAUUUCUUCACAGCAUGAACCACUCAAGGCUAUCUUCAAAAAGUGCUGCUCUUCACUUCCCGUGGCUGAGUUUUGAGUAAGAGAGGAUGUGAGCUAUCUUGUGAUCAGAUAGCUAUAUAUGGAGAAUGUGUCACCACAGAAAGUAGCAUGGCAACAUCUCUCAUACAUUUUUAUAUUUAUAUGGGCCCCAUGUAGCUGUUAGAUCUCAUUAAUGUGUGACAAAGUCAUUAAAGAAUCUACACUGCUGAGCUUUGUUUAAAAAUAAAACCUUUACCAUAAUUGUGUGGAUAACAGACAAAA